Molecule: long non-coding RNA, 632 nt
Organism: Vespula pensylvanica (western yellowjacket)
Lineage: Eukaryota; Metazoa; Arthropoda; Insecta; Hymenoptera; Vespidae
Exons: 2
Source: RefSeq, a predicted model, not a curated record
CCCAAGGUAGAAAAUGAAAACGUUUACCUCUUCAGUCUUAUAUUUAAAUGAGAUUUUAUCAUGGCGACGAGAAUAUUUCUAUUGAUGAGCAUUAUUGAAGCAUGUUGAAGCAGAAGAGUGUUUCAAGAGGCAGUUGAAAAUUCUAACAACGGAAGGAACAUCGUUUGCUAUUGUUCAUGUAUGCAUUAUGUGAUUGUGAGUACCUAGGAACAGGAAAAAGAAGAAAGUACAUACGUGCUUGACGACGAAGUUUCAAAGGAUCAAAAUCGCACUGUUUUAUAAAGCUUGGAACAAUGGUACGAGUAAAUGGGAGGGAUUUAUCUUCUUCAAAGCAUCUAACCGUGAGCAGCUUUAGCUGGGGGGUAUAAGCGAUUGUGCUCAAAAAGAUCUGUCGAAGAGCCGUCCGACGUUCGACGCGGUGAAGGGUCAAAGGGGAAUUAAAAUGAAACUGAGGGAGGUUUAUCAUACAAAAUAAUUGAACAGACAGGGACGAUCAAAAGAUUCAUCUUUUUUCAAAGUAAUACCAUUAGCAGGGGAAUACUUUUCAAUUAUACGUGAAAUAGAAAGUCCACGUCACGUCAUUAUUAUUCCAUCGAUUUAAAUUAAAUAACCAUUCGAUAUAAUUAAAAAGG